UGUGUACAAGUGUGUGUGUCAGUGUAUGUAUCUCUGCAUGUCUGCCAGUGUGUACAAGUGUGUGUGUCAGUGUAUGUAUCUCGGCAUGUCUGCCAGUGUGUACAAGUGUGUGUGUCAGUGUAUGUAUCUCUGCAUGUCUGCCAGUGUGUACAAGUGUGUGUGUCAGUGUAUGUAUCUCGGCAUGUCUGCCAGUGUGUACAAGUGUGUGUGUCAGUGUAUGUAUCUCGGCAUGUUUGCCAGUGUGUACAAGUGUGUGUGUCAGUGUAUGUAUCUCGGCAUGUCUGCCAGUGUGUACAAGUGUGUGUCAGUUUUAUCUUGAUGAAACAGGUACUACAUAACAUCUUUAUUUAAUGCUACUACUAAC
Non-coding RNA from Pelobates cultripes (western spadefoot toad), 364 nucleotides. The record is from the annotation of a GenBank genome assembly. Lineage: Eukaryota; Metazoa; Chordata; Amphibia; Anura; Pelobatidae.